RNAcentral lists this ribosomal RNA (427 nucleotides) under uncultured Burkholderiaceae bacterium. RNAcentral describes it as "bacterial SSU rRNA". It matches the Rfam family "Bacterial small subunit ribosomal RNA", at positions 355 to 774 of the family's 1533-position model. The record is from RNAcentral. RNAcentral also lists the same sequence under 1 other name. Lineage: Bacteria; Pseudomonadati; Pseudomonadota; Betaproteobacteria; Burkholderiales; Burkholderiaceae.
UGGGGAAUUUUGGACAAUGGGCGAAAGCCUGAUCCAGCAAUGCCGCGUGUGUGAAGAAGGCCUUCGGGUUGUAAAGCACUUUUGUCCGGAAAGAAAUCCUUGGUUCUAAUAUAGCCGGGGGAUGACGGUACCGGAAGAAUAAGCACCGGCUAACUACGUGCCAGCAGCCGCGGUAAUACGUAGGGUGCGAGCGUUAAUCGGAAUUACUGGGCGUAAAGCGUGCGCAGGCGGUUUGUUAAGACCGAUGUGAAAUCCCCGGGCUCAACCUGGGAACUGCAUUGGUGACUGGCAAGCUAGAGUAUGGCAGAGGGGGGUAGAAUUCCACGUGUAGCAGUGAAAUGCGUAGAGAUGUGGAGGAAUACCGAUGGCGAAGGCAGCCCCCUGGGCCAAUACUGACGCUCAUGCACGAAAGCGUGGGGAGCAAACA